This 305-nucleotide ribosomal RNA is filed under the name uncultured bacterium. RNAcentral's name for it is "partial 16S ribosomal RNA". It matches the Rfam family "Bacterial small subunit ribosomal RNA", at positions 506 to 807 of the family's 1533-position model. The record is from RNAcentral.
ACAGCAGCAGCCACGGUAAUACGGAGGGUGCAAGCGUUAAUCGGAAUUACUGGGCGUAAAGAGUGCGUAGGCGGCUUUUUAAGUCGGAUGUGAAAUCCCUGAGCUUAACUUAGGAAUUGCAUUCGAUACUGGGAAGCUAGAGUAUGGGAGAGGAUGGUAGAAUUCCAGGUGUAGCGGUGAAAUGCGUAGAGAUCUGGAGGAAUACCGAUGGCGAAGGCAGCCAUCUGGCCUAAUACUAACGCUGAGGUACGAAAGCAUGGGGAGCAAACAGGAUUAGAUACCCCCGUAGUCCCUGUCUCUUAUAC